Chroicocephalus ridibundus (black-headed gull) is the source of this 3105-nucleotide long non-coding RNA. RefSeq lists it as uncharacterized. NCBI's taxonomy places the organism in Eukaryota, Metazoa, Chordata, Aves, Charadriiformes, Laridae. The record is from RefSeq and is a predicted model, not a curated record. The transcript has 14 exons.
CAAAGAAAUCAUGGCGGAGUGUUUACAUUUGGCAGCCCAAAGACUGUUGGAUUACGGAACCCCCCCAAACCCAAGCGGCCCCCCCCGGCCCCCCGCAGUAGCGCCUUGCCGGAGCCCGCCCGCCGACAUCUCGCCGCGGCCCGGAGUCUGAACCAGCUGCUUGGAAGAGAUCUUUCAGAUGAAUGACUAGCUGUGAAUUUCUGAGACUGUUGAUAAGAACAGAAGAAGGAACAGAUGGUGGCACCAUCCUGCCUCAGCGCCAAACACUGCCCUCGAGUUGUACAUGGCGCAAAAAGCAUCCCCGUGUGGAGAAGCAGAUAGUGCUCCUGCAAAGUAUGUCCAGGACUCACUGAAGGCAAAACCAAAUCACAUCCUGAAUAAACAACACAAGGGACCAGUGCUAGAGAGGAAGGCUCUGCAGGGGGAGCGGAUGGAGUGCUGUCUGGAGCAAAUCAGUGAGAUCCCCAGCGGAGGAUCCCUCGUGACAGCCAGCGCUACUGCCAGGACCUGACACAGAGCCGGGGGCUGCCUGCGGGGGCCGAGAUGUAGCAGAGUGAGCACAGAGUCUGGGGUGCUCGUAUUGGCAGAUCAGCGUGGAGGAUUUUGUGGUGGAUUUCUAUGGCUGAGGGACAACUGCCUGUGAAUUUCCAGUGCCAAAGUCAGCCUAGAGAUGCUUCAGGCCCUCUUUGCACGUGCUUUUCAACCCAGUCAGGACAAGAUGCUUCAAGACGCUCUGAGGUCACUUCGGUCUGAAACAGCUGGAAAUAUGAAAGCUGUCCAUGUGUGCCAUUACCAAGGGAAUCAUCAAGUCAUGUAACCUUGCUCACUCUCGUGGAAAGCCUGAGGAGCUCCAGGAGGAGUUUAAAGAAGAGAUCUUCCUCUCCUGUUCAGGUUCACCUCAGCCUGGUGGGGCUCUGUUGGACAGCAGAGAGCAGCAAGUGGGCCUGGGCCGCGUACACACCUGCCCGGCCCUCAACCGAGGAAGUUCAGGACCAGACUUCGAUUUCAGUCUGAAGUACUCUGAUUGGGCUCCCGGAUGCUCAGUGGAGUGAAAGUGAACAUUUUGGAAAGUGGUAUAAAACACUGGCUGCCACAAAUUUCAUGUUAAAAAAAAGGAAGAUGAGAAGGCUGUGGUUUGGGGGCUGCUAGAGAGCAGACCGCACGCUUGUAACCGUGGGGCUGCUGAAGUCGCUGCAAGGAUAGUGGGGCACGCAUGCAUUUGUGGAUAAUUCUGGCUGCUAAUUGCUCAUGAAAUUUCAGGUUGCAAGUGAAGAAGGAAAUCUUCCAGGUGGCUGCAUCGUGAAAAACAGGUGCUGCAGUGAUCGCUUCCCAUCCAAACAUGCCGCGCUGCUCGACGGGACUGGCCAGGAGCCCGAGAUGCAAUGAGUGCUCUUUAGUGCCACACCAAGGUGCGUUCACUCCGGCAUGUGAUACUGCCAUGUCCCACAUGCUGUCCCCGGUGCCCCAUCGCUCCUUCUGCCGGGGCGAUCGAGCCCGGCGUCUUUACUGCAUAAACUUCAAGAAGGUUAAGUUUUAAAAUAACCGUUCCUGAGGCUGUAAGUAAACCGAUGUGAAAGAAAAAAAGUGCUGUAAUUGACUUGUGAUAACCUCAUUGAAAAUGCUGGAUGCUUUUUUUUCUCUCUCAUCUCACCAUAAAUGUUUUCUAACAUUAAUACUGGUGACCUCUUGCUUCUUUUGCUUUUCUUUAAUGGGAUGUGGCUUGCCUAUUAUAAGGCUAUGCAUCGGAGCUGCAAAACAGUUGCUUUAUUUAAAAAAAAAAGGGGGGGGGGGGGCUCUGAUUACUCAGGUGUCGAUACAGAAAAAUGAGAUGUUGUGCCAGAUGGCUGCAUUUGUGAAGCAGAGCGUAGUCAGAAGGAAAGUGGAAGGAGACAAGGCAACUGUACAUCCGAAGUGUGAAAACAUGAUCAAAAUACCUUCAGCCUUGUUUCACCAACACUGGAUUAGGAGGCAACUGUGGUGAGAUGCAAGCAAAGAAAAGCACGAGGGGAUACUGUCUGGAAAACAAAAAUGUCUUUCAGUAAUGAACUGCUUGACUUCCUCCAGCAAAAGCUUAGAAGUUUAAAAAAAAUCAAGAGACUUUGUUAUUAAAUGGAAGGAGUGUGAACCAGUAAGCCUCAGAGCACUGUAUCUAGUGUCACUGCAAAAUGCCACGUGCGGUAGAGUAAAAUAUUGAUAGCAGGCUGUGUCACGGGCUUAGUUAGCAUUAUAGCAGGAUACGCUGCUGCCAAUCAUCUGUAAGUAACCGCUCUCUCGGUGACACAGACAGGCAACAGCUUCGUGCCACGGCUGCAGAUGUCCAGGAAGAGUUGUCUCGUAAUGCGCGGGAGAGGCGUUACGUCCUACAUCGGGCGCAUUCACGUAGUUUGCUCCUUGCUUUGCCCACGCAAGCGAUACCCAGGAGCCCGCCCGUCGGUGCUCUGGGUUAGGGUCUGCUCGCAGAGUUAGGGUGGUGGGCUUGUCGUAACAGUGCUGGCUGGUUUGUACCUCACACUCCUCUCAUUGAGAAGCUUUAGUCACCUUUUGAUGCCAGGGUAAAAGCUGAGCUCUUGGCUGGCCCACGGGUGGGUGCUGCUUUACACCUUUAGAUACUGGAACGGAUCCUGAGUACUUCCAGCUUUGCUGCCAUGCCGCAGCUUUUGGCUGUUACAUUAUUUUGAAUAAUUUGUUUGAUCUGAGAUCAUAAAUCCAAAUCUUUUUUUUUUUUUUCCAUGCUUAAGCUGGCUCUGCUCAAACUGCUUUGUAGCUCCACACUCCUCCCUCCUCUGCGGUGUCCUAGGGGAAAAGGAGGACGUGGGCACAGGAGAGGCCAGUCUGAAAGCUUGGCCUCUGGUUCCCUCGGUUAUAGCUUGGUUUACAAACUUUGUGGCACUUGGGUUUCAUCACGAGAGUCUGAAAUCUUAGUUUUCUUAGAUCAGUUUGAUGAGAACAUCACAAGGAAAAUCUGUGUUAAUUUUCACCCAGACCAUUCCCAGACACACAGCUUUCUCACCCUCAACCCCCAAAAUGACUUCGACUUUUUGCAGGUACUUUCUAGCAAUGAAUUUCAUCCAAAUAUAUUGAAGGUAGGUUACGUUAGUAACGGCA